RNAcentral lists this ribosomal RNA (446 nucleotides) under uncultured bacterium. RNAcentral's name for it is "partial 16S ribosomal RNA". It matches the Rfam family "Bacterial small subunit ribosomal RNA", at positions 338 to 795 of the family's 1533-position model. The record is from RNAcentral.
CCUACGGGGGGCAGCAGUAGGGAAUAUUCGGCAAUGGGGGGAACCCUGACCGAGCAACGCCGCGUGAAGGAAGAAGUUAUUCGUAAUGUAAAGUUCUUUUAACAGGGAAGAAAGAGAAAUUUGACGGUACCUGAAGAAUAAGCUCCGGCUAACUACGUGCCAGCAGCCGCGGUAAUACGUCGGGAGCGAGCGUUAUACGGAAUUAUUGGGCGAAAGGGGUGCGUAGAUGGCAGAGUAAGUCUUUUGUAAAAAUGCUGGGCUAAACCCAGUAGGGCAAUAGAAACUGCAAAGCUAGAGUAUGACAGAGGUGAGUGGAACUACAUGUGUAGCGGUGAAAUGCGUAGAUAUAUGGAAGAACACCAGUGGCGAAGGCGGCUUGCUGGGUCGAUACUGACAUUGAGGCACGAAAGCGUGGGGAGCAAACAGGAUUAGAUACCCCUGUAGUC